CCUACGGGAGGCUGCAGUGGGGAAUAUUGGGCAAUGGGCGCAAGCCGGACCCAGCAACGCCGCGUGAAGGAAGAAGGCUUUCGGGUUGUAAACUUCUUUUCUCAGGGACGAAGCAAGUGACGGUACCUGAGGAAUAAGCCACCGCUAACUACGGGCCAGCAGCCGCGGCAAUACGUAGGUGGCAAGCGUUAUCCGGAUUUACUGGGUGUAAAGGGCGUGUAGGCGGGACUGCAAGUCAGAUGUGAAAACCAUGGGCUCAACCUAUGGCCUGCAUUUGAAACUGUAGUUCUUGAGUACUGGAGAGGCAGGCGGAAUUCCUAGUGUAGCGGUGAAAUGCGUAGAUAUUAGGAGGAACACCAGUGGCGAAGGCGGUCUGCUGGACAGCAACUGACGCUGAGGCGCGAAAGCGUGGGGAGCAAACAGGAUUAGAUACCCCUGUAGUC
This 443-nucleotide ribosomal RNA is filed under the name uncultured bacterium. RNAcentral describes it as "partial 16S ribosomal RNA". It matches the Rfam family "Bacterial small subunit ribosomal RNA", at positions 338 to 795 of the family's 1533-position model. The record is from RNAcentral.